UUUUCAAUGCUUUCAUCUUUAUGACCUUUACCUGUUAAAUGUAUAAUUUGAUAUUUUUUAGUUAAGUAAUCUAAAUUGUCACGAACAGCUUCGUUUAAUAUUUUAGAGCCUAAACUACCACCCAUAACCAAUAGAACAGGUAAUUUAUCAUUAAAUCCCGUUAUUUUGUAUCC
RNAcentral lists this non-coding RNA (173 nucleotides) under Mammaliicoccus lentus. RNAcentral's name for it is "Staphylococcus sRNA 414". It matches the Rfam family "Staphylococcus sRNA 414". Rfam says of the family: Antisense of an annotated CDS (SAOUHSC_1422) but was considered an trans-encoded sRNA rather than a typical antisense RNA. Target prediction revealed enrichment of iron-coding genes and genes with function in cofator metabolism. The record is from RNAcentral. Lineage: Bacteria; Bacillati; Bacillota; Bacilli; Caryophanales; Staphylococcaceae.